Pan troglodytes (chimpanzee) is the source of this 148-nucleotide non-coding RNA. It matches the Rfam family "Metazoan signal recognition particle RNA". From Rfam's summary of the family: The signal recognition particle (SRP) is a universally conserved ribonucleoprotein. It is involved in the co-translational targeting of proteins to membranes. Lineage: Eukaryota; Metazoa; Chordata; Mammalia; Primates; Hominidae. The record is from Rfam.
GCCAGGUGUGGUGGCACACACCUGUACUCCCAGCUACUCAGGAGGCUGAGGUAAGAGGAUCUCUUUAGCCCAGGAGGUUGAGGCUGCAGUGAGCCAUGAUUGAGCCACUGCACUCUAGCCUGGGCGACACAGUGAGACCCUGUCUUUA